Molecule: ribosomal RNA, 433 nt
Filed under: uncultured bacterium
Lineage: Bacteria
Description: partial 16S ribosomal RNA
Rfam family: Bacterial small subunit ribosomal RNA
Source: RNAcentral
AACGAACGCUGGCGGCAUGCCUAACACAUGCAAGUCGAACGAGACCUUCGGGUCUAGUGGCGCACGGGUGCGUAACGCGUGGGAACCUGCCCUUAGGUUCGGAAUACCUCCCCGAAAGGGGUGCUAAUACCGGAUAAUUUCUUCUGACCAAAGAUUUAUCGCCCUUGGAUGGGCCCGCGUUGGAUUAGCUAGUUGGUAGGGUAAAAGCCUACCAAGGCGACGAUCCAUAGCUGGUCUGAGAGGAUGAUCAGCCACACUGGGACUGAGACACGGCCCAGACUCCUACGGGAGGCAGCAGUGGGGGAUAUUGGAAAAUGGGCGAAAGGCUGAACCAGUAAUGCCGGGUGAGUGAUGAAGGCCUUAGGGUUGUAAAGCUCUUUUACCCGGGAUGAUAAUGACAGUACCGGGAGAAUAAGCUCCGGCUAACUCCGUG